This 22-nucleotide microRNA is filed under the name Echinops telfairi (small Madagascar hedgehog). RNAcentral's name for it is "Ete-Mir-769_5p (mature (guide))". Lineage: Eukaryota; Metazoa; Chordata; Mammalia; Afrosoricida; Tenrecidae. The record is from RNAcentral.
CAAGACCUCUGGGUUCUGAGCC